UACGGAGGAUGCGAGCGUUAUCCGGAUUUAUUGGGUUUAAAGGGUGUGUAGGCGGAUCGUUAAGUCAGUGGUCAAAUUGAGGGGUUCAACCCCUUCCCGCCAUUGAAACUGGCGAUCUUGAGUGGAAGAGAAGUAUGCGGAAUGCGUGGUGUAGCGGUGAAAUGCAUAGAUAUCACGCAGAACCCCGAUUGCGAAGGCAGCAUGCCGGCUUCCUACUGACGCUGAAGCACGAAAGCGUGGGGAUCGAACAGG
Molecule: ribosomal RNA, 252 nt
Filed under: uncultured bacterium
Lineage: Bacteria
Description: partial 16S ribosomal RNA
Rfam family: Bacterial small subunit ribosomal RNA
Source: RNAcentral